UGGCAGAUUAGCAGGAUCCUCUUGGC
Molecule: non-coding RNA, 26 nt
Filed under: Homo sapiens (human)
Lineage: Eukaryota; Metazoa; Chordata; Mammalia; Primates; Hominidae
Source: RNAcentral